This 18-nucleotide non-coding RNA is filed under the name Arabidopsis thaliana (thale cress). Lineage: Eukaryota; Viridiplantae; Streptophyta; Magnoliopsida; Brassicales; Brassicaceae. The record is from RNAcentral.
GAUGGGCUUAGAUGAUGG